ACAUCAGAGCUGGCCUGUUUUUGUCUCCUCACACAUUACAGUUGGGCUGUCUCUCAUCACACAUUACAGUUGGGCUGUCUCUCAUCACACAUUACAGUUGGACUGUCUCUUUCUAUUCACCCAUUACAGUUGGGCUGUCUCUCUCUUCACACACUACAGUUGGACUGUCCCUUUCUCCUCACACAUUACAGUUGGACUGUCCCUUUCUCCUCACACAUUAGAGCUGGCCUGUCUCUUUCUCCUCACACAUUACAGUGGGACUGUCUUUUUCUCCUCACCCAUUACAUUUGGGCUGUCUUUUUCUCCUCACCCAUUACAUUUGGGCUGUCUUUCUCUUCACAAAUUAUAGUUGGACUGUCCCUUUCUCCUCACACAUUAGAGCUGGCCUGUCUCUUUCUCCUCACACAAUACAGUUGGGCUGCCUCUCCACAUUUCAGUGGGGUAUUAAGGUUCACUUUAUCCCAUGUUACAUUCCCCGAGGGGUCUAGUUUCCAAAAUGGUAUGCCAUGUGGUUUUUUUUUUUUGCUGUUCUGGCACCAUAAGGGCUUCCUAAAGGUAACAUGCCCCCCAAAAACCAUUUCAGAAAAACGUACUCUCCAAAAUCCCCUUGUCGCUCCUUCGCUUCUGAGCCCUCUGCUGCGGCCGCCGAACAAUUUACAUAGACAUAUGAGCAUUGAAGGACCUUCACCUGUACUCUCGCAAACUCCUUUUGAAAAAAUUACAUGCCAGGAAAGAAAAUCCAGAUUUUUCCACACUUGAACUUGAGGCCCUACAAACCUUAGAAGAAUUAUUACAAGAGCAAAAUGAACCUGAGCCAGCUCAACUACUGCCAAUUUUUUGGACAUCCAGAUGCACCGACAAUCAGAUGGACACAUCGCUACAGAUAUUUAUAGAAAGGAAACUUCCACAAAUUCGCUUCUUCAUGCCACCUCAUCCCAUAUGCCAUCUACGAUCAGAGCAGUGCCCAUAGAUAUACCUUUGUACACAUGGCAUUAUAAGACACACUGUUACCCUAUGAUAUGAGUCUCGCAUCUUAGUAUGGAAGAUAUAAAGUAUUGCAAGAAGUACGGACUACUUGAAGACCAUUAAGUGAACCAUGGUAGCCAGACUGAUUAAAAAGAAAAAAAGGAAAUGAAUUGGACAAUAUGGUAGUGAAAGGAAUUGUAGUGGGGUUUUGGAUUUGUUUGGGAAUUUUUUAUAAGUGCCACAUAGAUGGCUGUAUAUGCACUUUAAUUAUACUAUAUAAUGGGGAUUUGCCAGCAAUUAAUACUGACAUGAUACACAUGGAUACUUGCACUUUAUGUACAGCACUUUAAUUAUUCUUGUAAUAUGUUAUAAGUAUUUAAUAAUUCCUUUUUUUGCUUUUUUGUUUUUUUCUUUUCACAUAUUAUUUUUGACAUGCAAAUUGUUUAUUUAGCACGAUUCAUUUUAAUACUGGGUUAAUAUUACACUGGGUCUUUUCACUCCAUAUAUGUUCUUACAUGUAUAUGGUUGUAUAGUCUGUCCUAUGGAUUCAUGCAGA
Long non-coding RNA from Hyla sarda, 1522 nucleotides. RefSeq lists it as uncharacterized. NCBI's taxonomy places the organism in Eukaryota, Metazoa, Chordata, Amphibia, Anura, Hylidae. The record is from RefSeq and is a predicted model, not a curated record. The transcript has 4 exons.